CUGCGACAAUAUGGUAGCCAUCUGCCAUAGAGCACCACUGACUUGCCUGCAGUCUGUGCUAACGGUGUAUGUACGAUGAAUGGCCGGGGAGAUGGACGACACAACGGUAGGAAUCGUCCACGCUGGUACAUUAUACCAAGAGGAGAUUUGCCACCAGCUAAUCAGUUUAGCAAUUUUGACAUUGCUCUGUUGGAUACUUUUGUGCAAAUUGGAGGAAAUGAAGAGGAGGUCAGGGAACUGAUGAUGUUUCUGCAGAACCAAAACCAAAUGAGACUAAUACAGCAACUGAAUCGUCUGCAACUUUAGCAAAGAUAAAGAAUGACCAAAGAUGUUAAAGAGAGACUUUCCCUCACGUUUGUUGGCCUGGUGGUUUGAUGACUUUUAUAUAUAGUUUGGAGAAAUACAAUAAUAUUUGCUAAACACUAAAGGUAAUGAUUGCAGCUGGGCAGGAGUGGGAUUAGAAAUUAAAGAGAACUGAUUAAAAUAACUAAAUUCCCAUCCUGCUAAGAGAUCCAGCAACAGAGAUUAAUCCUGAAAUAAAGUUAGGAUCAAACUAAAAGUGUGAAAAACGUUUUAUCCAAAUCUUUUGGAGGAAGUUCUUCACAUCAUUGUUUCAAUUUUAUUAUAUUUCAAUUAUCAUUAUUUCUUUGCCGCUGUUGAGCUGUGUUGUUUUAUUGAUCAGUUUUUUCGGCCGUCACAUUUACAAUUUCAAAAUAAGACCAACAUGGAAGGUCUUCCAAUGCAAAAAAACAAACAAAAAUAAACAGACAAAAAUGGA
Cynoglossus semilaevis (tongue sole) is the source of this 778-nucleotide long non-coding RNA. RefSeq lists it as uncharacterized. The transcript has 2 exons. Lineage: Eukaryota; Metazoa; Chordata; Actinopteri; Pleuronectiformes; Cynoglossidae. The record is from RefSeq and is a predicted model, not a curated record.